UGGGGAAUUUUGCACAAUGGGCGCAAGCCUGAUGCAGCGACGCCGCGUGAGGGAUGAAGGCCUUCGGGUUGUAAACCUUUUUCGCUCAUGGUCAAGCCGCAGCUUUGGGUUGUGGUGAGGGUAGUGGGUAAAGAAGCGCCGGCUAACUACGUGCCAGCAGCCGCGGUAAUACGUAGGGCGCGAGCGUUAUCCGGAAUUAUUGGGCGUAAAGGGCUUGUAGGCGGUUGGCCGCGUCUGCCGUGAAAUCCUCUGGCUUAACUGGGGGCGUGCGGUGGGUACGGGUUGACUUGAGUGCGGUAGGGGAGACUGGAAUUCCUGGUGUAGCGGUGGAAUGCGCAGAUAUCAGGAGGAACACCGGUGGCGAAGGCGGGUCUCUGGGCCGUUACUGACGCUGAGGAGCGAAAGCGUGGGGAGCGAACAGG
Molecule: ribosomal RNA, 422 nt
Filed under: Verrucomicrobiota bacterium
Lineage: Bacteria; Pseudomonadati; Verrucomicrobiota
Description: Verrucomicrobia bacterium partial 16S ribosomal RNA
Rfam family: Bacterial small subunit ribosomal RNA
Source: RNAcentral